Pyrus x bretschneideri (Chinese white pear) is the source of this 1088-nucleotide long non-coding RNA. RefSeq lists it as uncharacterized. The transcript is spliced from 7 exons. Lineage: Eukaryota; Viridiplantae; Streptophyta; Magnoliopsida; Rosales; Rosaceae. The record is from RefSeq and is a predicted model, not a curated record.
UCCCCUCCAUGUCUCUGCCUCAGACCAAAACUCUGCCAUUCUCAACCGCACAGAGCCAGAACCUCACCUCCAUCCUUCAUGCCUGUUCCAAAAUCACAUAGCCGCCAUGAUCAGAGGUCGCACCUCCAUUUCCGCGAACGGCGAUCACAGCCAUGGGAGUGGGGAAACCAACCACGAUCUCCAACAACCCCCAAACUUGGAUUAAAAACCCUAAUCCAGGAAUUUGCGACUCCGAUUCACCCAUGGCGUGUCUGCAGAGGGUUGGAUCAGAAGCUAUGAACAAAAAGAUGAACGGAGAUCCUCAGAUAUACCGGAAAAGAAAGCGGAGGUCCCAAAAUCCAUGGAUCCGGGAAAGUAAAGGUAACUUUGAUCAGAAAUGGCUAUCCUCUGGUCAAAAGUGCACAGAAGGCCGCUGGCUUUUCCAGAACUGAAGAGACAAAAGGAUCCCGAGGGCAAACUCAUGGGCUUUUUGUAUGCUCGGAUCAGAAGGUCCCCAAACACACAGAUCAUCCAAAAUAAAGUGCCAUGCUUGCAUAAAAUUAGACACAACGAAUAUAUACUGGAUCUGCAAUGUGGACCCUCUGCAUUUGGGCUCCCGAAUUUGGAUAAUAUAUAGGAUUCGAAAUGAAUGUCUAUUAAUUUAUGGGGUGGGAGUGAGAUGAGUGGAGUGAAUGGGGGUCUAAAUGCAAAAGCUUCAUCAGAUAUCCCCUGGUUAAGAAGAUAUGGUACCUUGGAGAAACCGAACAAAAAAACGAAAAGCACAGAUGAUGUCUCGGUCUGGUGCGGUCCAAAUGGUCCCCCAACACACACAUUGAUCCAUGAUUCCAUAACACAUCUCGACUUCACUCAUGAGUCAUGAUGCAGCCUUCUCACUCCUCGAUCUGGGUCCAUUCACAAAAGAGAGUUCGAAGAUGGUAUCUGGAUCCUUUCACAAAAGACAGUUCCAUUGCUGGCAAGAUAGCGGGUUUUUAGGAUGCCGUGAUUGGUCGUAUAGUAGCACAUGGCAGGGUUCAUGCCUAUGGAGUCCAAACUGCAACAACGCAUGCACAAAAGAAGGUGCGACUACUGGAGCUUGCGUACUUUUCAAA